UAACGCGAAGAACCUUACCAAGGCUUGACAUAUAGAGGAAAAGUGCAGAGAUGCACUCCCCGCAAGGUCUCUAUACAGGUGGUGCAUGGUUGUCGUCAGCUCGUGUCGUGAGAUGUUGGGUUAAGUCCCGCAACGAGCGCAACCCUCGUCCUAUGUUGCCAGCACGUUAAGGUGGGAACUCAUGGGAUACUGCCGGGGUCAACUCGGAGGAAGGUGGGGAUGACGUCAAAUCAUCAUGCCCCUUAUGUCUUGGGCUUCACGCAUGCUACAAUGGCCGGUACAGAGGGCUGCAAUACCGUAAGGUGGAGCGAAUCCCAAAAAGCCGGUCUCAGUUCGGAUUGGGGUCUGCAACUCGACCCCAUGAAGUCGGAGUCGCUAGUAAUCGCAGAUCAGCAACGCUGCGGUGAAUACGUUCCCGGGUCUUGUACACACCG
Molecule: ribosomal RNA, 434 nt
Filed under: uncultured bacterium
Lineage: Bacteria
Description: bacterial SSU rRNA
Rfam family: Bacterial small subunit ribosomal RNA
Source: RNAcentral